GGCGACAUGGCCGAGUGGUCUAAGGCGCUAGAAUCAGGUUGUCCCGUAAUCUAGUCAUUCGUGGCGUGGGUUCGAAUCCCACUGUCGUCA
This 90-nucleotide transfer RNA is filed under the name Lentinula lateritia. Its description in RNAcentral is "tRNA-Leu". It matches the Rfam family "tRNA". From Rfam's summary of the family: Transfer RNA (tRNA) molecules are approximately 80 nucleotides in length. Their secondary structure includes four short double-helical elements and three loops (D, anti-codon, and T loops). Lineage: Eukaryota; Fungi; Basidiomycota; Agaricomycetes; Agaricales; Omphalotaceae. The record is from RNAcentral.